UAAAUACUCUCUAGUGACCGAUAGUGAACCAGUACCGUGAGGGAAAGGUGAAAAGCACCCCGGGAGGGGAGUGAAAUAGAACCUGAAACCGUGUGCCUACAACAAGUUCGAGCCCGUUAAUGGGUGAGAGCGUGCCUUUUGUAGAAUGAACCGGCGAGUUACGAUAUGAUGCGAGGUUAAGUUGAAGAGACGGAGCCGUAGGGAAACCGAGUCUGAAUAGGGCGGAUUAGUAUUAUGUCGUAGACCCGAAACCAUGUGACCUACCCAUGAGCAGGUUGAAGGUGAGGUAAAACUCACUGGAGGACCGAACCAGGGCACGUUGAAAAGUGCUUGGAUGACUUGUGGGUAGCGGAGAAAUUCCAAACGAACUUGGAGAUAGCUGGUUCUCUCCGAAAUAGCUUUAGGGCUAGCGUCGACAUUAAGAUUCUUGGAGGUAGAGCACUGUUUGGGUGAGGGGUCCAUCCCGGAUUACCAAUCUCAGAUAAACUCCGAAUGCCAAUGAAUUAUGGUCGGCAGUCAGACUGCGAGUGCUAAGAUCCGUAGUCGAAAGGGAAACAGCCCAGACCACCAGCUAAGGUCCCAAAAUAAUUGUUAAGUGGAAAAGGAUGUGGGGUUGCACAGACAACUAGGAUGUUAGCUUAGAAGCAGCUAUUCAUUCAAAGAGUGCGUAAUAGCUCACUAGUCGAGUGACCCUGCGCCGAAAAUGUACCGGGGCUAAAACAAUUUACCGAAGCUGUGGAUACCUUUAUAGGUAUGGUAGGAGAGCGUUCUAUGUGUGGAGAAGGUGUACCGUGAGGAGCGCUGGAACGCAUAGAAGUGAGAAUGCCGGUAUGAGUAGCGAAAGACAGGUGAGAAUCCUGUCCACCGUAAGACUAAGGUUUCCAGGGGAAGGCUCGUCCGCCCUGGGUUAGUCGGGACCUAAGGAGAGACCGAAAGGUGUAUCCGAUGGACAACAGGUUGAUAUUCCUGUACUAGAGUAUGUAGUGAAGGAGGGACGCAGUAGGCUAACUAAAGCGUGCGACUGGAAGUGCACGUCUAAGCAGUGAGGUGUGAAUUGAGUUAAAUGCUUAAUUCUAUAACAUUGAGCUGUGAUGGGGAGCGAAGUUUAGUAGCGAAGUUAGUGACGUCACACUGCCAAGAAAAGCUUCUAGCGUUAAUCAUACUCUACCCGUACCGCAAACCGACACAGGUAGUCGAGGCGAGUAGCCUCAGGUGAGCGAGAGAACUCUCGUUAAGGAACUCGGCAAAAUGACCCCGUAACUUCGGGAGAAGGGGUGCUGGCUUUCAGUCAGCCGCAGUGAAUAGGCCCAAGCAACUGUUUAUCAAAAACACAGCUCUCUGCUAAAUCGUAAGAUGAUGUAUAGGGGGUGACGCCUGCCCGGUGCUGGAAGGUUAAGAGGAGUGCUUAGCGUAAGCGAAGGUAUGAAUUGAAGCCCCAGUAAACGGCGGCCGUAACUAUAACGGUCCUAAGGUAGCGAAAUUCCUUGUCGGGUAAGUUCCGACCCGCACGAAAGGCGUAAUGAUUUGGGCACUGUCUCAACGAGAGACUCGGUGAAAUUUUAGUACCUGUGAAGAUGCAGGUUACCCGCGACAGGACGGAAAGACCCCAUGGAGCUUUACUGCAGUUUGAUAUUGAGUGUCUGUGCCACAUGUACAGGAUAGGUAGGAGCCAUUGAUAUCGGGACGCCAGUUUCGAUGGAGGCGUUGUUGGGAUACUACCCUUGUGUUAUGGCCACUCUAACCCGGUAGGUUCAUCAUCUACGGAGACAGUGUCUGACGGGCAGUUUGACUGGGGCGGUCGCCUCCUAAAAGGUAACGGAGGCGCCCAAAGGUUCCCUCAGAAUGGUUGGAAAUCAUUCGCAGAGUGUAAAGGUAUAAGGGAGCUUGACUGCGAGAGCUACAACUCGAGCAGGGACGAAAGUCGGGCUUAGUGAUCCGGUGGUUCCGUAUGGAAGGGCCAUCGCUCAACGGAUAAAAGCUACCCUGGGGAUAACAGGCUUAUCUCCCCCAAGAGUUCACAUCGACGGGGAGGUUUGGCACCUCGAUGUCGGCUCG
Molecule: ribosomal RNA, 2055 nt
Filed under: human gut metagenome
Description: bacterial LSU rRNA
Rfam family: Bacterial large subunit ribosomal RNA
Source: RNAcentral